Molecule: long non-coding RNA, 282 nt
Filed under: Hordeum vulgare
Lineage: Eukaryota; Viridiplantae; Streptophyta; Magnoliopsida; Poales; Poaceae
Description: long non-coding RNA (HVUL_LNC013440)
Source: RNAcentral
UGCAAGGUGGUGGAGGUCGUUGCCGAGACCACCGCGCCGCUGCUGCCCACGGAGGACCUCCUCGCCAGGGUCCCCUCCGACCCCGGCAGGGCACCGCCCCCAGCUCCCGCGGCUCCGGCCGUCGUUACAGAGGCGCCGAAGGAGCCGCCUCCAGCAGCGGCGGCGGCACCACCACCAGCCGCAGCACCUCCGGCAACGGCAGCGGAACCAGCACCAGUUGCAGCACCCCCAGCACCGUCACCGGCACCAGCUGCGGCAGCAAAAGCAGAGCGGCCGCUCUCG